UAUUGCACAAUGGAGGAAACUCUAAUGCAGCGACGCCGCGUGAAGGAUGAAGUAUUUCGGUAUGUAAACUUCUAUCAGCAGGGAAGAAAAUGACGGUACCUGACUAAGAAGCACCGGCUCACUAUGUGCCAGCAGCCGCGGUAAUACGUAGGGGGCAAGCGUUGUCCGGAUUUACUGGGUGUAAAGGGAGCGCAGACGGCACGGCAAGCCGGAUGUGAAAGCCCGGGGCUCAACCCCGGGACUGCAUUUGGAACUGCUGAGCUAGAGUGUCGGAGAGGCAAGUGGAAUUCCUAGUGUAGCGGUGAGAUGCGUAGAUAUUAGGAGGAACACCAGUGGCGAAGGCGGCUUGCUGGACGAUGACUGACGUUGAGGCUCGAAAGCGUGGGGAGCAAACAGG
RNAcentral lists this ribosomal RNA (397 nucleotides) under uncultured bacterium. Its description in RNAcentral is "bacterial SSU rRNA". It matches the Rfam family "Bacterial small subunit ribosomal RNA", at positions 362 to 776 of the family's 1533-position model. The record is from RNAcentral.